UUGGAAAAAGGAUCAUUUCGUCAUCAUUGAUAGGGACCCUUGCGUUAGAUGGAUCCAACUAGGACACACCCACCCAUCUCCAAGAAAUAGUUCGUACCUCUAAUUUCCCUCUCUUUUGGUCUUCCUUUUGCCAUAUGGAGAAUCAUCUUAUUCAUCUCCUUGGAUCCCAACCACCCAUUGAUAUCUCCUUGCCUCUAUAAAUGCGUUCUCUGCUCCCUCAUUCUAUC
RNAcentral lists this long non-coding RNA (227 nucleotides) under Phoenix dactylifera (date palm). RNAcentral's name for it is "long non-coding RNA (PDAC_LNC002808)". The record is from RNAcentral. Lineage: Eukaryota; Viridiplantae; Streptophyta; Magnoliopsida; Arecales; Arecaceae.